UACGGAGGGUGCAAGCGUUAAUCGGAAUUACUGGGCGUAAAGCGCACGCAGGCGGUCUGUCAAGUCGGAUGUGAAAUCCCCGGGCUCAACCUGGGAACUGCCUUCGUGACUGCGAAGCUAGAGUACGGCAGAGGGGGGUGGAAUUCCACGUGUAGCAGUGAAAUGCGUAGAGAUGUGGAGGAACACCGAUGGCGAAGGCAGCCCCCUGGGCCGAUACUGACGCUCAUGCACGAAAGCGUGGGUAGCAAACAGG
This 253-nucleotide ribosomal RNA is filed under the name uncultured Burkholderiales bacterium. Its description in RNAcentral is "partial 16S ribosomal RNA". It matches the Rfam family "Bacterial small subunit ribosomal RNA", at positions 524 to 776 of the family's 1533-position model. The record is from RNAcentral. Lineage: Bacteria; Pseudomonadati; Pseudomonadota; Betaproteobacteria; Burkholderiales.